RNAcentral lists this unclassified non-coding RNA (151 nucleotides) under uncultured fungus. RNAcentral describes it as "sequence contains ITS2". The record is from RNAcentral. Lineage: Eukaryota; Fungi.
AACCCUCAAGCAUUGCUUGGUGUUGGGCGCUUGUCCCGCCUCGGGCGCGGACUCGCCUCAAAAACAUUGGCGGCCUGUGUAUGGGCUUCGAGCGCAGCAGAUUCGCGCCUCGCAACCCAGCGGCACGGGCGUCCAUCAAGACGAACCCCAA